UGCCCAGCAACUCCUAUCCCUACCUCCUCGUGGAACCGGCCGGAAACUACGAGCAACCUUAGGAAAGAUCGGGUAACCAACCCCGGUGGGAUCUUUGGUCGUAGGCUGACAGGGAAGA
Non-coding RNA from Aedes albopictus (Asian tiger mosquito), 118 nucleotides. NCBI's taxonomy places the organism in Eukaryota, Metazoa, Arthropoda, Insecta, Diptera, Culicidae. The record is from Rfam.